AGGCACUUAGUUUAAGAAAAACCUUUGAUUUCGGCUCAAAAACUUAUGGUUAAAAUCCAUAUUUGCCUA
RNAcentral lists this transfer RNA (69 nucleotides) under Cottus koreanus. RNAcentral's name for it is "tRNA-Arg". It matches the Rfam family "tRNA". Rfam says of the family: Transfer RNA (tRNA) molecules are approximately 80 nucleotides in length. Their secondary structure includes four short double-helical elements and three loops (D, anti-codon, and T loops). Lineage: Eukaryota; Metazoa; Chordata; Actinopteri; Perciformes; Cottidae. The record is from RNAcentral.